This 631-nucleotide long non-coding RNA is filed under the name Aquila chrysaetos chrysaetos. RNAcentral describes it as "lncRNA (ENSACCG00020007487.1)". The record is from RNAcentral. Lineage: Eukaryota; Metazoa; Chordata; Aves; Accipitriformes; Accipitridae.
CCGCGGACGGACGGACGGAGGGACGGACGGACGGAGGGACGGACAGACGGCCCGCUGCCGCUCGGGCCCGGCCGAAGCGCUCCCCUCUGCUCGGAGGCCCGGGAGCGCGUUGCAGCGGGUGAAGGUGGCUCCGGAGAGCAGCGGCCGAGGCAUCCAACCCCGAACCAACGUAACCGCGAAGGCACGGGAGCUCAUUUUGCUUACAAACCUUGUUUCAAAUGGAGAGUCCCUUAUUUAUCUACGUUUCCUUCGGGAGCAACCCCAAACCCUAGCGAACAGUUUUACAAAGCGUGUUUCUCCUGCCGGUGAAACUACGCUGAUAACAAUUAUCUGAAGGAGCUAUUCUGUGCUGAUCCGCCUCGUGCUGGGAGCGCGCUGAUGGCGUGUGCGUAUGAAAAUGGAAACUUCCCGAGACGUUCAGACUCUGAAACUCUGAGUCUGCAGAAUUCCCUACCAAUGUGUUUUUACAGUUGUUGAAAUAAAAUCUUCAUUGCUGUAAUUAGUUAAUAUUUGUAAAGCCUGUAAGAUUCCAGAAUAAAUGGCUGAAAGAAAUUUGCAUGGCUAUUAGAUAAAUGUGUUAGUAAUAAUGAAGAUGGCUGGUGAGAAGACAUCACUCCUAAUGAUGUAUGAU